GGCGCGGGGUUUGUGCAUGUGCGCUGUCUGCGCUGGGUGCCACGACCGCACACUGCUGAGCACUUGGUCCACUGGCUCCAUGUCGACCAGCCUCCAUUCACUGAAAAUUCACAAGAAAUUUAAAACAUACUUUGCACCCCUGUGAGUACCCUGACAAAAAAAAUAAACAUGAUGUGACCCAUGCCCCUGUGUGCGGCCCUCUCACCGCCAGAAGUAAAUCGGCAGGAUUUGUUGUGGCUGAUCGGAGGCGAAACAUUGGCACCAGUAUCCGUCCGAGCCGAAAUAUUCCUCAACAUCCUCUUUAGUUACGAUGUCACAGACACAAUGGUGAAGCAAUCAUCGGGCUUGUUGCAAACUGGCAACAGCAAGAAACAACUGUGCAAGACAUUGACAACAAGUGGCGAUUACAAUCUACAGUCAACUGUAGUUAGAAUGUGUUGAAUGCAAAUCAAUAGGAACUAUUGCAAUUUAUUUAAAUUUUGCUGCAAUAUCUGCUUUGAAUUUAUUGUUUGUGUAAUAAUUUUAUUAUAUCCAUGUGUUCAAGCCAAAAGAUGCCAAAAUUGAGACAUUACAAUGUCAAAGAGUUCACCAUGCAGAGCCUAAAUCUUUUUAUAUACAGGAAAAUACAACAAUUCAAUUUAUAUUUUUGUACAUUAUUUUUGUUUUUGUUGAUUAAAG
This is a long non-coding RNA of Dreissena polymorpha, 678 nucleotides long. RefSeq lists it as uncharacterized. The transcript is spliced from 4 exons. NCBI's taxonomy places the organism in Eukaryota, Metazoa, Mollusca, Bivalvia, Myida, Dreissenidae. The record is from RefSeq and is a predicted model, not a curated record.